GUCAUCCUGAGAUCUUGGGUAUGUCAGAGCUCCUGGGAGUCAAGCUGCCUCUGGGAUCCUGAAAACCUGUGAUCCUGGGUGUAUUAGAGCACCUGGGAGUGGAGCUUCCUCAGGGUGUUGAGGGACUGGGUGCAAAGCCAGUGCCCAAAGUCUGCUCAACACACUGGCUCAGUCUGGAAGGAACCUGUGCCACUGGCCAGGAGGGGGUUCCUGUGUCCCUGGAUCCCAGGGGUCCCAAUCAUUCCUGGUGUUGGGGCAGAUGGUGUAGCCUCCUCACCUGUGAUCCUGGGCAUGUUAGAGUACCUGGGAGUUGAGCUUCCUCUGGGUGUUGUGGGAAUGAGUGCAGAUCCAGCACCUAAGGUCCACUCGGGGCACUGGCUUAGACUGGAAGCUGCAGGUGCAAUGUGGUCAGAUGCUUAAAUUUCCAGAUGCCUUCACUUUCCUGCUAGGAGAGACAGUUCCCGGGAGCUUUGUGCCAAGCUUGCUUUCUUAUAGAACCCAGGACUACCAGCCCAGGGAUAGCACCACCCACCAAUGGGCCCUCCCACCCUUGAUCACUGACUGAGAAAAUGCCUUACAUCUGGAUCUCAUGGAAGCAUUUCCUCAAGGAAGAUUCCGUUCUCGGUGAUAACUCCAGCUUGAGUCAAGUUGACACACAAAACCAGCCAGCACAGACUCUUAUCACGUCCUUUCUCUUCUAAUAAACCAAGAGUUGCUCCCACUCCCGCUGCUGUUACUUAAAAUAGUUUUCCGUGAGACUUCUCUGGAAACACAUACCUUGUUUGUGACAAUUUCAGAGUGACUCCUUUUAACUCAUCCUUGGUGAAGGAUCAGAGGAAACUUUCCAAACUCCCAUAUGCCAUGCUCAAACUCUGCUCCCGAGCUACCCUGGUCAAGUUCGUGAACUAUUACCAGCAUCAGCUAGAUAACAUAAGGCUGCAUUCAUCACAAUGGCAUAUAACUGUUGGCUAUAUAGGAACUAGUUUCAUCUUUUGAAGUCGGUCUACUAAGAAUAUUUGCUUUUUACCAUCACUUUCUUGGAAAGUUCCUCAAGGAUCUGUUCCAGCCAAACAAGAGAGUAAAGCAGAGAACAAGUGCCAAACACCUGCUGUCACGUGAUCACAAAGGAUCCCCUUGCUCUCCAAUGUGCUGAACUGAAGAUGCUGGGAACUGCCAGCUUCUUGAACAGGACACUCCCCUCCAAGAAAAGCAACCAAGAACUAGAAGGAAGGUCACCCUUUACAGUGAGUCUUUAACCGAGGACAAGCAAAAGAAACAACAUCACACAUUGGCAGGAAGCCGGGUGGGAUGAAGCCGACUCCAUCAUUCAUUAACAGAGACCCAAUCCAAAAAAUGUAUUCUGUUUUAUGCUUUGCUCUAAGUUGGUGAUAUCAAUAAAAAAAAA
RNAcentral lists this long non-coding RNA (1405 nucleotides) under Mus musculus (house mouse). RNAcentral describes it as "predicted gene, 36618". The record is from RNAcentral. Lineage: Eukaryota; Metazoa; Chordata; Mammalia; Rodentia; Muridae.